This 442-nucleotide ribosomal RNA is filed under the name uncultured bacterium. Its description in RNAcentral is "partial 16S ribosomal RNA". It matches the Rfam family "Bacterial small subunit ribosomal RNA", at positions 338 to 795 of the family's 1533-position model. The record is from RNAcentral.
CCUACGGGAGGCUGCAGUGGGGAAUAUUGGGCAAUGGGCGCAAGCCUGACCCAGCAACGCCGCGUGAAGGAAGAAGGCCCUCGGGUUGUAAACUUCUUUUAUUCGGGACGAAACAAAUGACGGUACCGAAUGAAUAAGCCACGGCUAACUACGUGCCAGCAGCCGCGGUAAUACGGAGGAUGCGAGCGUUAUCCGGAUUUAUUGGGUUUAAAGGGUGCGUAGGCGGUCCGGAAAGUCAGCGGUAAAAGCCCGGGGCUCAACCCCGGCGAGCCGUUGAAACUGUCGGACUAGAGACGGCGAGAAGUACGCGGAAUGCGCGGUGUAGCGGUGAAAUGCAUAGAUAUCGCGCAGAACUCCGAUUGCGAAGGCAGCGUACCGGCGCCGGACUGACGCUGAGGCACGAAAGCGUGGGUAUCGAACAGGAUUAGAUACCCUAGUAGUC